RNAcentral lists this ribosomal RNA (253 nucleotides) under uncultured bacterium. RNAcentral describes it as "partial 16S ribosomal RNA". It matches the Rfam family "Bacterial small subunit ribosomal RNA", at positions 524 to 776 of the family's 1533-position model. The record is from RNAcentral.
UACGUAGGUGGCGAGCGUUGUCCGGAAUUACUGGGUGUAAAGGGCGUGUAGGCGGGGUGUCAAGUCAGGUGUGAAAGACCGGGGCUCAACCUCGGGGAUGCAUCUGAUACUGCAGCUCUUGAGUCCCGGAGAGGCCGCUGGAAUUCCUGGUGUAGCGGUGAAAUGCGUAGAUAUACCACAGAACACCGAUUGCGAAGGCAGCUUACUAAACUGUAACUGACGCUGAGGCACGAAAGCGUGGGUAUCAAACAGG